CCUACGGGUGGCAGCAGUGGGGAAUAUUGGACAAUGGGCGAAAGCCUGAUCCAGCCAUGCCGCGUGUGUGAAGAAGGCCUUCGGGUUGUAAAGCACUUUCAGUGGGGAAGAAAGCCUUGGGGCUAAUACCCUCGAGGAAGGACAUCACCCACAGAAGAAGCACCGGCUAACUCCGUGCCAGCAGCCGCGGUAAUACGGAGGGUGCGAGCGUUAAUCGGAAUUACUGGGCGUGAAGCGCGCGUAGGCGGUCUGAUAAGCCGGUUGUGAAAGCCCCGGGCUCAACCUGGGAACGGCAUCCGGAACUGUCAGGCUAGAGUGCAGGAGAGGAAGGUAGAAUUCCCGGUGUAGCGGUGAAAUGCGUAGAGAUCGGGAGGAAUACCAGUGGCGAAGGCGGCCUUCUGGACUGACACUGACGCUGAGGUGCGAAAGCGUGGGUAGCAAACAGGAUUAGAUCCCCAGUAGUC
RNAcentral lists this ribosomal RNA (464 nucleotides) under Vreelandella stevensii. Its description in RNAcentral is "partial 16S ribosomal RNA". It matches the Rfam family "Bacterial small subunit ribosomal RNA", at positions 338 to 795 of the family's 1533-position model. The record is from RNAcentral. Lineage: Bacteria; Pseudomonadati; Pseudomonadota; Gammaproteobacteria; Oceanospirillales; Halomonadaceae.